AGAGUUUGAUCCUGGCUCAGAAUCAACGCUGGCGGCGUGCCUAACACAUGCAAGUCGAACGCGAAAGUGGAGCAAUCCAUGAGUAGAGUGGCAAACGGGUGAGUAACGCGUGGGCGACCUACCUCAGAGUGGGGAAUAACCUUCCGAAAGGAGGGCUAAUACCGCAUAAGACCUUCCGACACAAGUCAGGAGGUUGAAAGGAGCGAUUCGCUCGAAGUGGGAUCCGCGCCUGAUUAGCUAGUUGGUGAGGUAAUGGCUCACCAAGGCUGCGAUCAGUAGCCGUCCUGAGAGGGAGCACGGCCACACUGGAACUGAGACACGGUCCAGACUCCUACGGGAGGCAGCAGUGGGGAAUUUUUGGCAAUGGGCGAAAGCUUGACCAAGCAACGCCGCGUGGGUGAUGAAGUAUCUUGGUACGUAAAACCCUUUCGGCAGGAACGAACCCAAUGACG
RNAcentral lists this ribosomal RNA (452 nucleotides) under uncultured bacterium. RNAcentral's name for it is "bacterial SSU rRNA". It matches the Rfam family "Bacterial small subunit ribosomal RNA", at positions 8 to 474 of the family's 1533-position model. The record is from RNAcentral.